GAACGCCGGCCCGCUCUGUGCCACCCUCUCCCCAAGCCCCCGGGAGGAGGCCUCGCCACCAUGCCCAGAGCAGCACAGUGAGUCAGAGAUGAAGCUCUUGUCCCACCUGCCCCAACCCUCGAGCCCUGCUUCCCAGGUCCGCAUUCCCAGGCAGCCUGCCACAGCCAGUGCCAGCGAGAGAGUGGAUCAGGCUUCAGGAUAGCCCAGCACUGAGGACAUCUAAAACAGUCUUCAUUUAUUUAUUUAUUGUUCAUAGUGUCCAAAAGUUGGAAUUAAAGUGAAUGGCUGAAUCAA
Long non-coding RNA from Homo sapiens (human), 294 nucleotides. Ensembl annotates it as long intergenic non-protein coding RNA 2004. The record is from Ensembl. Lineage: Eukaryota; Metazoa; Chordata; Mammalia; Primates; Hominidae.